RNAcentral lists this ribosomal RNA (600 nucleotides) under uncultured bacterium. Its description in RNAcentral is "bacterial SSU rRNA". It matches the Rfam family "Bacterial small subunit ribosomal RNA", at positions 35 to 634 of the family's 1533-position model. The record is from RNAcentral.
GAAGCUUCAGGCCUAACACAUGCAAGUCGAGCGCGAAAGCUCUUCGGAGUGAGUAGAGCGGCGGACGGGUGAGUAACGCGUAGGAAUCUACCUGGUAGUGGGGGACAACUUGGGGAAACUCAAGCUAAUACCGCAUACGCCCUACGGGGGAAAGCGGGGGAUCUUCGGACCUCGUGCUAUCGGAUGAGCCUGCGUUGGAUUAGCCAGUUGGUGGGGUAAAAGCCUACCAAGGCGACGAUCCAUAGCUGGUCUGAGAGGAUGAUCAGCCACACUGGGACUGAGACGCGGCCCAGACUCCUACGGGAGGCAGCAGUGGGGAAUAUUGCGCAAUGGGCGAAAGCCUGACGCAGCCAUGCCGCGUGUGUGAAGAAGGCCUUCGGGUUGUAAAGCACUUUCAAUUGGGAGGAAAGGUUCGUAGCUAAUACCUGCGAGCUGUGACGUUACCUUUAGAAGAAGCACCGGCUAACUCCGUGCCAGCAGCCGCGGUAAUACGGAGGGUGCGAGCGUUAAUCGGAAUUACUGGGCGUAAAGCGCGCGUAGGCGGUUUGUUAAGUCGGAUGUGAAAGCCCCGGGCUCAACCUGGGAAUUGCACCCGAUACU